RNAcentral lists this ribosomal RNA (779 nucleotides) under uncultured Pseudomonadaceae bacterium. RNAcentral's name for it is "SSU rRNA". It matches the Rfam family "Bacterial small subunit ribosomal RNA", at positions 84 to 859 of the family's 1533-position model. Lineage: Bacteria; Pseudomonadati; Pseudomonadota; Gammaproteobacteria; Pseudomonadales; Pseudomonadaceae. The record is from RNAcentral.
UCCUGGAUUCAGCGGCGGACGGGUGAGUAAUGCCUAGGAAUCUGCCUGGUAGUGGGGGAUAACGUCCGGAAACGGGCGCUAAUACCGCAUACGUCCUGAGGGAGAAAGUGGGGGAUCUUCGGACCUCACGCUAUCAGAUGAGCCUAGGUCGGAUUAGCUAGUUGGUGGGGUAAAGGCCUACCAAGGCGACGAUCCGUAACUGGUCUGAGAGGAUGAUCAGUCACACUGGAACUGAGACACGGUCCAGACUCCUACGGGAGGCAGCAGUGGGGAAUAUUGGACAAUGGGCGAAAGCCUGAUCCAGCCAUGCCGCGUGUGUGAAGAAGGUCUUCGGAUUGUAAAGCACUUUAAGUUGGGAGGAAGGGCAGUAAGUUAAUACCUUGCUGUUUUGACGUUACCAACAGAAUAAGCACCGGCUAACUUCGUGCCAGCAGCCGCGGUAAUACGAAGGGUGCAAGCGUUAAUCGGAAUUACUGGGCGUAAAGCGCGCGUAGGUGGUUCAGCAAGUUGGAUGUGAAAUCCCCGGGCUCAACCUGGGAACUGCAUCCAAAACUACUGAGCUAGAGUACGGUAGAGGGUGGUGGAAUUUCCUGUGUAGCGGUGAAAUGCGUAGAUAUAGGAAGGAACACCAGUGGCGAAGGCGACCACCUGGACUGAUACUGACACUGAGGUGCGAAAGCGUGGGGAGCAAACAGGAUUAGAUACCCUGGCAGUCCACGCCGUAAACGAUGUCGACUAGCCGUUGGGAUCCUUGAGAUCUUAGUGGCGCAGCUAACGCG